Molecule: ribosomal RNA, 492 nt
Filed under: uncultured bacterium
Lineage: Bacteria
Description: partial 16S ribosomal RNA
Rfam family: Bacterial small subunit ribosomal RNA
Source: RNAcentral
AGUGAACGCUGGCGGUAGGCCUAACACAUGCAAGUCGAACGGCAGCACAGUAAGAGCUUGCUCUUACGGGUGGCGAGUGGCGGACGGGUGAGGAAUACAUCGGAAUCUACUUUUUCGUGGGGGCUAACGUAGGGAAACUUACGCUAAUACCGCAUACGACCUACGGGUGAAAGCAGGGGAUCUUCGGACCUUGCGCGAUUGAAUGAGCCGAUGUCGGAUUAGCUAGUUGGCGGGGUAAAGGCCCACCAAGGCGACGAUCCGUAGCUGGUCUGAGAGGAUGAUCAGCCACACGGGAACUGAGACACGGUCCAGACUCCUACGGGAGGCAGCAGUGGGGAAUAUUGGACGAUGGGCGCAAGCCUGAUCCAGCCAUACCGCGUGGGUGAAGAAGGCCUUCGGGUUGUAAAGCCCUUUUGUUGGGAAAGAAAAGCAGCAGGUUAAUACCCCGCUGUUCUGACGGUACCCAAAGAAUAAGCACCGGCUAACUUCGUG